UAGGGAAUCUUCCGCAAUGGACGCAAGUCUGACGGAGCAACGCCGCGUGAGUGAAGAAGGGUUUCGGCUCGUAAAACUCUGUUGUUAAGGAAGAAUGACAGGCAGAGUAACUGCUGCCUGUGUGACGGUACUUAACCAGAAAGCCACGGCUAACUACGUGCCAGCAGCCGCGGUAAUACGUAGGUGGCAAGCGUUAUCCGGAAUUAUUGGGCGUAAAGCGCGCGUAGGCGGUUUUUUAAGUCUGAUGUGAAAGCCCCCGGCUCAACCGGGGAGGGUCAUUGGAAACUGGGGAACUGGAGUGCAGAAGAGGAGAGUGGAAUUCCAUGUGUAGCGGUGAAAUGCGCAGAGAUAUGGAGGAACACCAGUGGCGAAGGCGGCUCUCUGGUCUGUAACUGACGCUGAUGUGCGAAAGCGUGGGGAUCAAACAGG
RNAcentral lists this ribosomal RNA (429 nucleotides) under Bacillota bacterium. RNAcentral describes it as "Firmicutes bacterium partial 16S ribosomal RNA". It matches the Rfam family "Bacterial small subunit ribosomal RNA", at positions 355 to 776 of the family's 1533-position model. The record is from RNAcentral. Lineage: Bacteria; Bacillati; Bacillota.